Molecule: long non-coding RNA, 1898 nt
Organism: Caretta caretta (loggerhead turtle)
Lineage: Eukaryota; Metazoa; Chordata; Testudines; Cheloniidae
Source: RefSeq, a predicted model, not a curated record
AGAACUGAGUUCAUGUUGAAGUAGGAAAUCUUGCCGCGAGAUCUCUAUAUAGCAGAUGGAAUUACUAUUUCAUUGCAGCCAGACAUUGACCAGAGCCUACGGAAAUCCACAAAGAAAAGCAACCUUUGAAACUCCCCCGGUUGGUGCCAACCAAGGAAGCCAGCCAUCACCCUGUUGAGUCGAUAAAGAGUGCAUCUAAUUUAGAAAAACAGAUUGCGCAGCCACGCACAGCCACCAUGGACUAUCACAAACGGGGAUCCAUAGUUGCCAAUCUCCAAUGAAAUGGAGAGUCGAUGGUCCAAAAAGUCCAAAGAAGGGGAUCCGAGUUCCUUCUCUUUCCCCCUCCCCCGGAAAUGGUCAGAUAGAUCCAAGAAGGCUCAUGCCAGAUCUAAGGUUCCUCCAAAGGACCGUCUGAAAGCAGCGGAGUGCAACUCCCAAUCCACCAGGGCGUUAGCCACCAGCGUCUGCCUAGGGACUGGCCUAGUAGGAAAGCCGCAGCCUACCUCCUCCCUGCCUCCCCCGGCUGCAGUCCCUCCCUUGCAGGCACAAUAAAAAAUGUAUUGCCUAGUCCUAGCAUGGUCCAGCCUUGGAAAGGCAGAGAAGGGCUGGAUGUCCCCUGGCCUUCCUUGGUGUUAGCUAUGGUUCCAAACAUUCCUUACCACUGAGGGUCAGCCAGGCAAUGCCAGCCCGUGGUUUGGAUCAGAAGGGGAACCAGGCACUGCCAGCCCGUGGUUUGGAUCAGAAGGGGAGCCAGGCAAUGCCAGCCCGUGGUUUGGACCAGUGGGGCAGCUAGACACUGACAGCCCGUGGGUUAGAUUCUAGGGGCUGCAAGGCAGUGCCAGCUUGUGGUUGGGAAUAGAAGGCAACCCAUGGAAAAUUUACUGCGCUUAGCAUGCAUUUUAUCAAUUAAUAUUAAUUAUUCAUAUUAAUAGGCUUAUUACUAUUAUUCUUCAUUAAUUAUUGAAGUCAGGUUUGUGGGGGGAAAGCAGCCCUGGAUUGUUGUUAUGAUUGUUUUCUCUGGCUUUUAUCACCCUUUGCAGGCAUUGUUCACGUUGAUUGCCUCGCUUAGAUAUGAUGUUGGGACAGCGCCUCCCUUGAAAUGGAAACAGAGGCCCUGAAUAAAGAAGGGUGGAAAAAAAAGUACUUUGUAGUCUGCAUCGUCCAUCUUUAAUUCAGAGACGCAUCUAUACUCCUGGGAGCGCUGCCUUUGAUCUCUUUGAUUUUUACACCAGAUCUGUUAUGGACUAAAAUUCCUAGGUUUUCCAUAGAAACAUCUCCAUUCCUUCGGGAUAUUGAUGUUUUCUUCUUCCUAGGGGUUAUGAUAUGGGACAAGAGGCCAUGCCAAAUGAGGGACAGAGGUGAAGCAAACCCAGCUGGGGAACUGGGAGCUCUGGAUCACUCUUGGUUUUCUCCAGAAACAUGAAACCAUUUAGGCCCUUUCCCUUUGCUUUAUACACUGAAGAAUAAGAUCCUCUUGAAAAUUAACAAGAUCCUUGUUAUUGUAAUUACUAAUUUCUUAUAUUGUAAUUACUAAUUUCAGCCAAUUUACACCCUAUUUAACCUUAUGUAUUGCUAGCAUUGAAAUGUAUUAUUUCCUUUUCAUAAAAAUGUCAUAAACAUCAAAGACGACUGGCAAACUCUUUAUCCAUUGAUUAAAAUGACUUUGGACCCUUAGCCAUGUGGAAACGGAUCCUAAUUUGAUCUCUCAUUACUUUUGUCCUAUGAAAACUGGUUUCUAACUUUCUGUGCUUAUGAAUACAUUCCUGUGGGAAAAGAAAUAAUAUACUGGGGACACCUCUGCAGAGGUGAUGUACAAGAAAUGUAUAUAUAUUACUGGUUUCAGAGUAUCAACCGUGUUAGUCUGUAUCCGCAAAAAGAAAAGGAGUACUUGUGGCACC